CAAAAUUCAGGUAGUAGUGAUAUUUACUUUACUUUUAUCGCCAUACCUAUUGUAGACUGUCCUCAAAUCACAACACUUCAAUACACAAGUGCAUUCUUUUACGCACCAGCAUUUCCUUUUUACAACGCUUUUAAUUUUAAUUAUACAAAUGUCAUAGUCAACAACGGCUUUAAACGGUUUGAACGACAAGAAAUGGAGCAGCAGAGGAAA
This is a non-coding RNA of Schizosaccharomyces pombe (fission yeast), 210 nucleotides long. Lineage: Eukaryota; Fungi; Ascomycota; Schizosaccharomycetes; Schizosaccharomycetales; Schizosaccharomycetaceae. The record is from the annotation of a GenBank genome assembly.